This 206-nucleotide long non-coding RNA is filed under the name Manihot esculenta (cassava). RNAcentral's name for it is "long non-coding RNA (MESC_LNC011276)". Lineage: Eukaryota; Viridiplantae; Streptophyta; Magnoliopsida; Malpighiales; Euphorbiaceae. The record is from RNAcentral.
AUGAAUGUUGGAUGAUCCUUAGCCCUUGAUAGAGCACAGAUACAGAGUUAUGGCAUGAGAUAGCCAUACCAGGUCGCCCCUGGAUAGUCCAGGUCGCCCCUGGAUAGUCCAGGUCGCUCCUGGUACUAUGAGUGAGACAGCUGGGCUGUCAGAUCAAAGCUCAGAGCAGUCCAGGUGAGGCCUAAUCGCCCCUGGCACAGUUGGAC